Molecule: non-coding RNA, 449 nt
Organism: Oryctolagus cuniculus (rabbit)
Lineage: Eukaryota; Metazoa; Chordata; Mammalia; Lagomorpha; Leporidae
Source: RefSeq, a predicted model, not a curated record
AUUUGCAUGUAUGCAAAUUUCUUUGAAAAUUCAGACCUCCUAGGUAACUUUCUUUCCCCUCUGAAAUGCGGUACGGCUCAAAGCAUUGUAAUCUCUCCAGCGAAGCUUUCUGUGGGAAUAGAUUCUUCGGCAGAGGACAGGAAAAAAAAAAUGUGAAAGGGAUGUCCUCUUUGGGCAGGGAGAUACUCUGAUCCGUGAAGGCAUGCCAGAGCUGGACCUGGGCUACCUGACCGUCCUCGGUCCCGGGACACCCCUGGAGGGGGGCCUUUUAAGAAUCCUCUCUUUUUCCCUCCCCCCAGGCUCUCCUCUCUCCUAGAAGGAAGAAAAAAUGAGUAUACCUGCCUCCUCCAAACCUCCUUCCCAUCUUUGCCUCCUCCUCCUCUCCCUCACCUUACUCCCCAGCCUGCUGCAUUUGCCAACCCUGCUCAAGAAUUCCAGAAGGAAAGGGG